GCUCCAGUGGCACAAUCGGUCAGCGCGCGGUACUUAUAAUGCCGAGGUUGUGAGUUCAAGCCUCACCUGGAGCA
RNAcentral lists this transfer RNA (74 nucleotides) under Gadus morhua (Atlantic cod). RNAcentral describes it as "tRNA-Ile (TAT) (tRNA-Ile-TAT-5-1)". It matches the Rfam family "tRNA". Rfam says of the family: Transfer RNA (tRNA) molecules are approximately 80 nucleotides in length. Their secondary structure includes four short double-helical elements and three loops (D, anti-codon, and T loops). Further hydrogen bonds mediate the characteristic L-shaped molecular structure. tRNAs have two regions of fundamental functional importance: the anti-codon, which is responsible for specific mRNA codon recognition, and the 3' end, to which the tRNAs corresponding amino acid is attached (by aminoacyl-tRNA synthetases). tRNAs cope with the degeneracy of the genetic code in two manners: having more than one tRNA (with a specific anti-codon) for a particular amino acid; and 'wobble' base-pairing, i.e. permitting non-standard base-pairing at the 3rd anti-codon position. Lineage: Eukaryota; Metazoa; Chordata; Actinopteri; Gadiformes; Gadidae. The record is from RNAcentral.